UUAAUGUUUGAUGUUCUAACGUGGACCCGUAAUCCGGGUUGCGGACAGUGUCUGGUGGGUAGUUUGACUGGGGCGGUCUCCUCCCAAAGAGUAACGGAGGAGCACGAAGGUUAGCUAAUCCUGGUCGGACAUCAGGAGGUUAGUGCAAUGGCAUAAGCUAGCUUGACUGCGAGCGUGACGGCGCGAGCAGGUGCGAAAGCAGGUCAUAGUGAUCCGGUGGUUCUGAAUGGAAGGGCCAUCGCUCAACGGAUAAAAGGUACUCCGGGGAUAACAGGCUGAUACCGCCCAAGAGUUCAUAUCGACGGCGGUGUUUGGCACCUCGAUGUCGGCUCAUCACAUCCUGGGGCUGAAGUAGGUCCCAAGGGUAUGGCUGUUCGCCAUUUAAAGUGGUACGCGAGCUGGGUUUAGAACGUCGUGAGACAGUUCGGUCCCUAUCUGCCGUGGGCGCUGGAGAAUUGAGGGGGGCUGCUCCUAGUACGAGAGGACCGGAGUGGACGCAUCACUGGUGUUCGGGUUGUCAUGCCAAUGGCAUUGCCCGGUAGCUAAAUGCGGAAGAGAUAAGUGCUGAAAGCAUCUAAGCACGAAACUUGCCCCGAGAUGAGUUCUCCCUGA
Molecule: ribosomal RNA, 612 nt
Filed under: Klebsiella aerogenes
Lineage: Bacteria; Pseudomonadati; Pseudomonadota; Gammaproteobacteria; Enterobacterales; Enterobacteriaceae
Description: bacterial LSU rRNA
Rfam family: Bacterial large subunit ribosomal RNA
Source: RNAcentral